CCCCGCAGUGGGUUCUUUCCUGGAAACAGGGGAGAACAACAACCUAUAAAUUUUUUUAUGUCAGAAAACAUAUUUUUUUUUGGAAUGUGAGAGGUAUAAAUGACUCUACUAAACAUUCAGAUUUUCUGAGGUGGAUCUCUACUCACCAUAUUAGUAUAGGAGCCCUUUUAGAAACCCAUAUCAAAGAACCCUCCCUAAGCCAUGUUUUGUCCUCUCUUUGCCCAGCCUGGUCUUUUUGCUCCAACCACUCUUCCGACCCUGAUGGCAGGAUCAUCAUGAUCUGGAAGCAACCAGCUACUGUCACCACUCUUCAUCAAUCCAGGCAAACAUUGACUGCCGGAGUUGACUAUCCUUCUGCUCACUCGUUUUACUUCACAGCUGUUUACGCUGGCAACACCGUAGAGGAGAGGAAUGAUCUCUGGAUCGAACUAAUUGAAAUUCAGGCUUCCCUCUCAUUAGAAUCAAACCCUUGGCUGCUAGGGGGAGAUCUUAAUGAGAUAACUCACCCUGAAGAGCACUCUUCACCAGCUGCCUCUCAGAUAUCUUGCCCCAUGAUAGAGUUCAACACUUGUCUCAACCAAUUGGAAGUCUGUGACCUGAGAUAUCAUGGAGAAAAGUUCACAUGGUCAAAUAAGCAACCAGAUAGUCCUAUAGCCAAAAAGCUUGAUAGAGCCUUGAUUAAUGAGCAUUGGCUAAACACUUACCCCCGCAGCCUAGCCAAGUUCCUUGCACCUGAGUUUUCUGACCAUACCCCUUGCUGCAUUGAACUUGACUGCCCCACCCCAUUAGCUGGAUCUAAACCCUUCAAAUUCUUCAACUACCUUCUUACCCUUCACCCUGAUUUCCUAACCCUGGUAGAAGAAGCCUGGACUUGCACAGAAAACGAGAAUCACUCUCUCUCCCUAUUGAGUGUUAAGCAAAAAGAGCUAAAAAGAGUUUUGAAACAACUCAACAAAGAUAAUUUCUCAGAUAUCCAGAAAAGAGUUUUAGAAGCUAACAGUUUAUUUACUGAUGGGCAGGUACUUUCUCUUCGUCAACCGACACCUGACCACUUUGCUACUGAAAAAGAACUCCAUGAGAAGCUAUUGUUCCUGAAAAAAGUUGAAGAAGAGUACUAUAAACAACUUUCAAGAAUCAACUGGCUAAAAUGUGGUGACUCCAACACUAGCUACUUCCACAAAGUAGCUAAGGCAAGAAAAGCUUUUAAUGCAAUCAUCAUCCUGAUCAGUACAACAGGGAUAGAAGCUACCUCUCCUCAAGAUAUCGGUAACCUAGCGGUUGCGCAUUUUUUGAGUAUCCUCGGCCCUCCCACACCUCAAACCUCGCCCGUAAUGAUCGAUUCGGUUGCUGGCAUGAUCCGAACAAAUCGCUUCUCUUGCUCUCCAGAACAAGCCGCAAGUCUCUCUAGGAUGCCUUCCCCUGAAGACAUAACCAAAGCAAUGUUUAAACUCAACAAAAACAAAAGUCCAGGACCGGACGGGUUCACUUCAGGGUUCUACAAAGCUGCGUGGGGUAUCUUGGGUCAGGAAGUCAUUAAUUCUAUCCUCUCGUUCUUCUCUACCAAACACCUGCCACCAUCCACCAACUCCACAAUCCUUACCCUCAUUCCCAAAUUCCCAGGAGCUACUAUCAUUAAAGACUAUAGGCCCAUCUCCUGUUGCAACACUCUUUACAAAGUAAUUUCAAAAAUCCUAGUCAACCGCCUAAAACCACUCCUACCCUCUAUCAUUCUCCCCAACCAAACAGCCUUCAUAAAAGGUAGAUUACUCCUCGAAAACUGCUUGCUUGCUUCGGAGCUCAUCUCAGGAUAUCAUAAGCAACAAGAGGAUAAAAAGCUUACCUUGAAGAUCGACAUAGCCAAAGCGUUUGAUUCUGUAAGAUGGAAUUUCCUUGUAGCCUGCCUUCAAGCCCUGAACCUCCCUCCGGAUUAUAUCCAGUGGCUCCACGCUUGCUUCUCAACUACAAGCUAUUCUGUGGGCAUCAAUGGGUGCCUCCAUGGCUACUUCAAAGGAACAAAAGGGUUGCGCCAGGGAGAUCCCUUAUCUCCUUACCUCUUUGGAUUGGUAAUGAAAACUCUUUCUCAUAAGUUGAAUGUUGGAGCACAAUCAGGUCGAUUUGGUUAUCACCCUAGAUGUCAAGAGUCAGGACUUACACACCUAUGCCCUCUUAAAUGUUUGCCAAGAGUAUUGCUGUUAUUAGUUUUGUGAGCAUCUCGUCUUGUUGAUACAGAAAGCAUAAACUUAUUAAACAAUAAACACAAUACUUAAAAAGAAAGUUUUAUAUU
RNAcentral lists this long non-coding RNA (2284 nucleotides) under Brassica napus (rape). RNAcentral's name for it is "long non-coding RNA (BNAP_LNC012482)". Lineage: Eukaryota; Viridiplantae; Streptophyta; Magnoliopsida; Brassicales; Brassicaceae. The record is from RNAcentral.